This 253-nucleotide ribosomal RNA is filed under the name uncultured bacterium. RNAcentral's name for it is "partial 16S ribosomal RNA". It matches the Rfam family "Bacterial small subunit ribosomal RNA", at positions 524 to 776 of the family's 1533-position model. The record is from RNAcentral.
UACGUAGGGUGCGAGCGUUGUCCGGAAUUAUUGGGCGUAAAGGGCUCGUAGGCGGUUUGUCGCGUCGGGAGUGAAAACCCAGGGCUUAACCCUGGGCUGGCUUCCGAUACGGGCAGACUAGAGGUAUGCAGGGGAGAACGGAAUUCCUGGUGUAGCGGUGAAAUGCGCAGAUAUCAGGAAGAACACCCGUGGCGAAGGCGGUUCUCUGGGACGGUACUGACGCUGAGACGCGAAAGCGUGGGGAGCGAACAGG